UUACUGCUAAGUGGUUUACAGAGCCAAAACCAUUCUCAGCGAAGUGCCCAAGGAGCUGGGAGGGAACAGAAUUAGAACAGCUGACUUUCACUGGUUAGAGGGAUAUCUCAUACCAUAUGACAUCCAGCAGAAGGAGUUUUGAAGGAGGUAGGAGUUCAUCUCUCUCUUCUGCUGCUCGGGAGGCUAGCUGGGAAUCAAUCGGUGAGCUGUUGGUCCAAUGGACACUCACAUAGGAACAGAAAGAAGACUAUAUGCAAGUUUCUCAGGACCUAUGGAACAAAUAAGAGGUUGCAGGUGGAAGUUUCCUGGAUUGCAUCAUUACCAGUGAUGACAUGUGGUGUCACCCCUAAGAGCUGGAGUCAAAACAGUAGUCCAUGAAGUGCCAGCACGUGAAUUCCCAUCAAGAAAAAAAGUACAAGAGUCAACCUCAGCAGGUCCCUCUGGAUGGCUUCCCUUCC
This 458-nucleotide long non-coding RNA is filed under the name Gallus gallus (chicken). RNAcentral's name for it is "lncRNA (ENSGALG00010001014.1)". Lineage: Eukaryota; Metazoa; Chordata; Aves; Galliformes; Phasianidae. The record is from RNAcentral.